GGUUUUUAGGAAUAAUUAAAAAUCAGGCCUGCUCAAUGCUUAGUAAAUAGCCGCAGUAUUAUGACUGUGCUAAGGUAGCAUAAUCAUUAGUCUUUUAAUUUGAGACUGGUAUGAAGGGUUAGACUGAGUAAUUCUGUCUUAUAGUAAUAUUUUGAACUUUAUAGUUUAGUAAAAAGGCUAAAAUUUAUCUUGGGGACGAGAAGACCCUAUCAAGCUUUACAAAUGUAAGCUGUGUAUCUUUUACAGUCUAAGUUUGUUUUACUGGGGCAGUAAAUGAGUAAACUCUCAUUUUAAUAUUGUGAAAAAUUGAGCUUGAAAAAUCAGAAUAUUUUCUAAACAAAAAUAAGUUACUGUAGGGAUAACAGCGUAAUUCUUUUUGAGAGUUCUUAUCAUCAAAAGAGUUUGCGACCUCGAUGUUGGAUUAAAAUUCCUAAUUCGCGCAAUAGUGAAAUAAGGGAGUCUGUUCGACUCUUGAAAUUUUCCG
This 484-nucleotide ribosomal RNA is filed under the name Pandinus imperator (emperor scorpion). RNAcentral's name for it is "partial 16S ribosomal RNA". It matches the Rfam family "Bacterial large subunit ribosomal RNA", at positions 1832 to 2600 of the family's 2925-position model. Lineage: Eukaryota; Metazoa; Arthropoda; Arachnida; Scorpiones; Scorpionidae. The record is from RNAcentral.